This 309-nucleotide long non-coding RNA is filed under the name Solanum tuberosum (potato). RNAcentral describes it as "long non-coding RNA (STUB_LNC010674)". Lineage: Eukaryota; Viridiplantae; Streptophyta; Magnoliopsida; Solanales; Solanaceae. The record is from RNAcentral.
CAGAUCUAAGCAUCUACAUGACCUUUUCCGUAUGCAAAACCUUCCUCAAUUACAGAAUAUAAACAUCAUCAAGAGCAAGGACACAUACAAUGAAAAUAAAAGGAAACGAUAGGCUCUUCGUCUUUACGUGCAUAUGUAUUCCCUUGUUCCCUUUCAAAUUUAUAUAAUCUAAAAAUAUAAUAAGUAUUUCCUUUUGUGAAAAAAAUUACUUAUGUUUGGAUACAACUCAUAACUAAACUAAAGUGUAUUGAUCACAGUUUUUCGUUGGUUUUAUACAUAAAUUUUGUAUUCAUUCUAACUGUAUGCCAU